This 72-nucleotide transfer RNA is filed under the name Bos taurus (domestic cattle). It matches the Rfam family "tRNA". Rfam says of the family: Transfer RNA (tRNA) molecules are approximately 80 nucleotides in length. RNAcentral also lists the same sequence under 1 other name. The record is from Rfam by way of RNAcentral. Lineage: Eukaryota; Metazoa; Chordata; Mammalia; Artiodactyla; Bovidae.
UCCCUGCUGAUUCAGAUGGUAAAGAAUCCACCUGCAAUGUGGGAGACCUGGGUUCAAUCCCUGGGUUGGGAA